This 291-nucleotide long non-coding RNA is filed under the name Manihot esculenta (cassava). RNAcentral's name for it is "long non-coding RNA (MESC_LNC004663)". Lineage: Eukaryota; Viridiplantae; Streptophyta; Magnoliopsida; Malpighiales; Euphorbiaceae. The record is from RNAcentral.
UUUUUGAUUUGUGCUUUUGAGGUCUUUGCCUUUGCUGAAUUUUCUUUCUCUCAAUGAUUUGGGCAAAUCAACACCAAUUGCUAAAUCAAGUCACAUUAAGUUCAUUCACACAACUUUCAAUUUAUUCUCAUCAAUUGAGGGUCAUCAAUAUAUUUUUCACCAUGGCAAACUCAAAGAUUCAAUUCAAAAGGCAAUUUUCAAACAUGAAUAUAACUCACUGCAAUUGAUUCAACAUAAGUUUAAAGAGUCAUAACAUCAAUGGGGUCAUGGAAAGAAAAACUCAUCUAACAU